RNAcentral lists this long non-coding RNA (216 nucleotides) under Setaria italica (foxtail millet). RNAcentral describes it as "long non-coding RNA (SITA_LNC004258)". The record is from RNAcentral. Lineage: Eukaryota; Viridiplantae; Streptophyta; Magnoliopsida; Poales; Poaceae.
AUUUGUCUCACGAAUUAGACUCCAUCUGUACAAUUAGUUUUAUAAUUAGCUCAUGUUUAAUCCUUCUAAUUAGUAUCCAAAUAUCCGAUGUGAUCCCGUAGCAGUUUAGCACCUUGUAUCCAAAACCCAGAGUCGCCACGGGUCCCAGAACCAUGCAUGCAGGAAGAGUACAAGGCCACUUGCGUGAAUGAGCCUCACCUCAGUGACAUGUUGUCG